UUGAAGCAGCCAUCAUUUAAAAAGUGCGUAAUAGCUUACCGGUCGAGGAAGCCUGCGCCGAUAAUGAACGGGACUAAGCGAAAUACCGAAGCGGCGGGCUGUAGCAAUACAGCGGUAGGAGAGCGUAGUGCGUUAGAGCGAAGGGGGACGGUAACGGCCCCUGGACGAGGCACUAGUGAUCAUGCCGGAACGAGUAACGAUAAACAGGGUGAGAAUCCCUGUCGCCGAAAGCCUAAGGUUUCCUGGGGAAGGUAAAUCCGCCCAGGGUUAGUCGGACCCUAAGACGAGGCCGAAAGGCGUAGUCGAUGGACGGCGGGUUAAUAUUCCUGCACCGGUCUCAUGGACAAAGCGUGUGACACUUCCUGGAAGGUGGGCGCCCCGCUAGACGAGGGCGUCCCGCAAGGGCGAGGGCAUCUACGAUCCCGAAGCCAUCGGAAAGGGAGACGAGAAAAACCACGCUGCGGUUGAAGUGAGCCGCCCGUACUAAAACUGACACAGGUAGGCGAGAUGAAUAUUCUCAGGCGCUCGAGAGAACGCUGGUGAAGGAACUCGGCAACAUAACCCCGUAACUUCGGGAAAAGGGGUGCCCCUGGAGGUGUUAAAGCAUCUGGGGGCCGCAGAGAAAUGGAUCUGGCGACUGUUUACUAAAAACACAGGUCUGUGCGAACGCGUAAGCGGAGGUAUACAGACUGACGCCUGCCCGGUGCCGGUAAGUUAAGGAAGGGGGUUAACUCGUAAGAGCGAAGCCCGCGACCGAAGCUCCGGUAAACGGCGGCCGUAACUAUGACGGUCCUAAGGUAGCGAAGUUCCUUGUCGGGUAAGUUCCGACCUGCAUGAAUGGCGUAACGACCGGAUCACUGUCUCCACCAGCGACUCGGUGAAACUGUAGUUGUUGUGAAGAUGCAACAUACCCGCAACUAGACGGAAAGACCCCGUGAACCUUUACUGCAGCUUAGUAUUGGGUUUAGGCCCAGCAUGCGUAGCGUAGGUGGGAGGCAUAAACCAGGCGUCCCGGCGCCCGGGGAGCCGACCAAUGAAACACCACCCUUGUUGUGCUUGAAUUCUAACCCCGACCCGUGAAUCCGGGCGGCGGACAGUGCUAAGUGGGCAGUUUGACUGGGGCGGUCUCCUCCUAAAGUGUAACGGAGGAGUUCAAAGGUACCCUCAACCCGGUCGGCAAUCGGGUUUCGAGCGUAAAGGUAGAAGGGUGCUUGACUGCGAGUCCCAUCAGACGAGCAGGUACGAAAGUAGGACUUAGUGAUCCGGCGGUGCCGGAUGGAAGGGCCGUCGCUCAACAGAUAAAAGGUACUCCGGGGAUAACAGGCUUAUCUCCCCUGAGCGUUCACAGCGGCGGGGAGGUUUGGCACCUCGAUGUCGGCCCAUCGCAUCC
Molecule: ribosomal RNA, 1390 nt
Filed under: metagenome
Description: bacterial LSU rRNA
Rfam family: Bacterial large subunit ribosomal RNA
Source: RNAcentral